UGCAGGUCUCCAUAUAAUAUGACAUUUGGAGUCUCAACUCGAUCCCUUCCGGGAAGUUUGUGAUAGAAACAAUAUCAGCUCUGUCGAGGCAUUUUGUCACAGCCAGGAUAUAUGGUUCUGAGGAUGCCCUGGGAAUAGGUUUAACAGAGGCUAUUCAAGAUGGGAUGGUGGAAAGAGAAAACAUUUUUGUUACCUCUAUGUUAUGGGGUAGUCAUCAUCAUUACCCUGUUGUUUCAGUGCUCUAAAAUGGUUAUGUUGGUUGAUAACUUGAUAUUGUGGACUUCAAUGGUAGCUUUUUGGCUGGUGCGAAUCGGAUAAUAUUAGUGAUUACUAAGGUUGGGGACUGUUUUAAUUUGUAUUGGUGAUUGAGUUGCGGAGGACUGGAGGCCGCUGUAAAGAAGAAGCUUAAGAUUAGUUUCAGUGGCCUUUGCUUGUACUUAUUUAUAUAUUAUCCAUCCAAAUGAGUUCCCCUUGGUGCUUGUUUGCAGUGUUAUAAGCAUUCAUCUGAUGAGUUCAAAGUCUUCGGUUCGGUUGGAGUAGCUAGCUGGAGUUGCAUCAGAGAUUCAAAAGGAAAAGAAGGGGGUGUGACGUGUAAGUUAUGGUGAGCUUUUUGUUACAAACUCAGGGAAUCACCUCUUUGAAUUGAACAAGACAUCUGGGGAGAAGCAUGAGUGAACACUGUGAACCCAAAGUCUCAUCUAUCUUAGCACAUUGCCCUCUCAGCACAUUGCCUCUCCCACUACCAGGACCACCUGAGAAUGAGGUCAACAUAAUAUGUUUUACUUUACCACGGUGAAUGAUCCUUCCUAGUAAAGCUUAUUCAUCUUCAAGACUUCAACGUACGUAUGAGAAACUUCUUGUUUGUUUACGUGUGUUAGCUAGAUUGAUCAUGCAAACAAUCUCACAGCUCUCAUUUAGGUAACAAGUGUAUAUGUAAAACUGUGCUUCGAGUAGUUCCAUGGUGGUGGCAUUCAAAUGUUUGUGCCUAUUUCGAGCCCUGUGCUCAGUUUGGUAUUCUAAAGCUUUGAAUUUGUAUGCCAAAUCUGUUCGUGUAUUAGAUUUUCGAAUCAUUUUUGUGGUCUCUAAGAUGAUAUGAAGAACAACAUUGUCU
Molecule: RNA transcript, 1111 nt
Organism: Fragaria vesca subsp. vesca
Lineage: Eukaryota; Viridiplantae; Streptophyta; Magnoliopsida; Rosales; Rosaceae
Exons: 6
Source: RefSeq, a predicted model, not a curated record